Molecule: ribosomal RNA, 422 nt
Filed under: uncultured bacterium
Lineage: Bacteria
Description: partial 16S ribosomal RNA
Rfam family: Bacterial small subunit ribosomal RNA
Source: RNAcentral
AUAUUGGACAAUGGGGGAAACCCUGAUCCAGCCAUCGCGCGUGUAUGAUGAAGGCCUUCGGGUUGUGAAGUACUUUUGGCAGAGAAGAAACGGUAUCUCAUAAUACGAGAUACUGCUGACGGUAUCUGCAGAAUAAUCACCGGCUAACUACUUGCCAGCAGCCGCGGUAAUACGUAGGGUGCAAGCGUUAAUCGGAAUUACUGGGCGUAAAGCGUGUGUAGGCGGUUCGGAAAGAAAGAUGUGAAAGCCCAGGGCUCAACCUUGGAACUCCGUUUUUAACUGCCAAGCUAGAGUAUGUCAGAGGGGGGUAGAAUUCAACGUGUAGCAGUGAAAUGCGUAGAUAUGUGGAGGAAUACCGAUGGCGAAGGCAGCCCCCUGGGAUAAUACUGACACUCAGACACGAAAGCGUGGGGAGCAAACAG